RNAcentral lists this ribosomal RNA (207 nucleotides) under uncultured bacterium. Its description in RNAcentral is "partial 16S ribosomal RNA". It matches the Rfam family "Bacterial small subunit ribosomal RNA", at positions 568 to 774 of the family's 1533-position model. The record is from RNAcentral.
CACGUAGGCGGUUUGAUAAGUCAGAUGUGAAAGCCCAUGGCUUAACUGUGGAAGUGCAUUUGAAACUGUCAGACUUGAGUACCAGAGGGGAAAGUGGAAUUCCCGGUGUAGAGGUGAAAUUCGUAGAUAUCGGGAGGAAUACCGGUGGCGAAGGCGACUUUCUGGCUGGAUACUGACGCUGAGGCGCGAAAGCGUGGGGAGCAAACA